GGGGAUAACACCUGGAAACAGAUGCUAAUACCGCAUAACAACUUGGACCGCAUGGUCCGAGCUUGAAAGAUGGCUUCCCCUAUCACUUUUGGAUGGUCCCGCGGCGUAUUAGCUAGAUGGUGAGGUAACGGCUCACCAUGGCAAUGAUACGUAGCCGACCUGAGAGGGUAAUCGGCCACAUUGGGACUGAGACACGGCCCAAACUCCUACGGGAGGCAGCAGUAGGGAAUCUUCCACAAUGGACGAAAGUCUGAUGGAGCAACGCCGCGUGAGUGAAGAAGGGUUUCGGCUCGUAAAACUCUGUUGUUAAAGAAGAACAUAUCUGAGAGUAACUGUUCAGGUAUUGACGGUAUUUAACCAGAAAGCCACGGCUAACUACGUGCCAGCAGCCGCGGUAAUACGUAGGUGGCAAGCGUUGUCCGGAUUUAUUGGGCGUAAAGCGAGCGCAGGCGGUUUUUUAAGUCUGAUGUGAAAGCCUUCGGCUCAACCGAAGAAGUGCAUCGGAAACUGGGAAACUUGAGUGCAGAAGAGGACAGUGGAACUCCAUGUGUAGCGGUGAAAUGCGUAGAUAUAUGGAAGAACACCAGUGGCGAAGGCGGCUGUCUGGUCUGUAACUGACGCUGAGGCUCGAAAGUAUGGGUAGCAAACAGGAUUAGAUACCCUGGUAGUCCAUACCGUAAACGAUGAAUGCUAAGUGUUGGAGGGUUUCCGCCCUUCAGUGCUGCAGCUAACGCAUUAAGCAUUCCGCCUGGGGAGUACGGCCGCAAGGCUGAAACUCAAAGGAAUUGACGGGGGCCCGCACAAGCGGUGGAGCAUGUGGUUUAAUUCGAAGCUACGCGAAGAACCUUACCAGGUCUUGACAUACUAUGCAAAUCUAAGAGAUUAGACGUUCCCUUCGGGGACAUGGAUACAGGUGGUGCAUGGUUGUCGUCAGCUCGUGUCGUGAGAUGUUGGGUUAAGUCCCGCAACGAGCGCAACCCUUAUUAUCAGUUGCCAGCAUUAAGUUGGGCACUCUGGUGAGACUGCCGGUGACAAACCGGAGGAAGGUGGGGAUGACGUCAAAUCAUCAUGCCCCUUAUGACCUGGGCUACACACGUGCUACAAUGGAUGGUACAACGAGUUGCGAACUCGCGAGAGUAAGCUAAUCUCUUAAAGCCAUUCUCAGUUCGGAUUGUAGGCUGCAACUCGCCUACAUGAAGUCGGAAUCGCUAGUAAUCGCGGAUCAGCAUGCCGCGGUGAAUACGUUCCCGGGCCUUGUACACACCGCCCGUCACACCAUGAGAGUUUGUAACACCCAAAGUCGGUGG
This 1307-nucleotide ribosomal RNA is filed under the name Lactiplantibacillus plantarum. RNAcentral describes it as "bacterial SSU rRNA". It matches the Rfam family "Bacterial small subunit ribosomal RNA", at positions 139 to 1433 of the family's 1533-position model. The record is from RNAcentral. Lineage: Bacteria; Bacillati; Bacillota; Bacilli; Lactobacillales; Lactobacillaceae.